This is a long non-coding RNA of Grammomys surdaster, 672 nucleotides long. RefSeq lists it as uncharacterized. The transcript is spliced from 3 exons. The record is from RefSeq and is a predicted model, not a curated record. Lineage: Eukaryota; Metazoa; Chordata; Mammalia; Rodentia; Muridae.
UCCUCAUCAAUUCCUGCUCAUUCCUGGUGCUCAAGCAGGGAGUCAAAGGAUGAGUUUGCUCUGGGUCGAUGAAUGUUUACUUCUCCAGAGCUGUUCUCUUCCUCCGACUCACGGUCCACCUCGGCUUUGACCGCACCGCUCCCCUUUUCGGAUUCAGCUUUCUUUCGGCCUGUCUUAUCACCACAGGCCACAGAUUAAGGACCUAGCGGAUCCGCUCAAGAAAUGUGUGUGUGAUAAUCUUUCACAAAAACACCUAGACUUAGCCAAGCGGAGUUUAGUCUCCACCAAAGCCUUGUUUCAAACGUCCUGUGCCAGGCUUGGAAGGAUCCAACUACAAAGACCGAACAGAGCUCAGGGAAACCCAUGGAAGAGGAGGCAGGAGUGGGAAACAGAAAGAAAAUGGAGGACACCAAGAGAACAAGACCCUCUGAAACAAGUGAGCAAAGCUGAUAUGAAUCCACAGAGACGGGAGACUCAAGCACGAUGCCUACACAGGGCUUGGAGUUCCCUGGACUUGGGGUGAGAAAAGAACCAUGAGGAGAGAGAGAAGAAGGUGGAGAAAGGAGGAAGCUGCCAUGGGGUAGGUGAACUAUGAAAACAUAACCAUGGGGAUAGCCAAUUAGGAGUUAAGAGCUGCCGAAUGGAACGUGGUAAGUUAUGACUUGUGUUAUA